This is a non-coding RNA of Neolamprologus brichardi, 255 nucleotides long. Lineage: Eukaryota; Metazoa; Chordata; Actinopteri; Cichliformes; Cichlidae. The record is from RefSeq and is a predicted model, not a curated record.
GUGUUUCAACUAUAUCAGCACCCCAAAGACAUGGACUGAAGCUCAGAUUUUUUGUCAGUUCGAUGGCGGCAACCUGGCAUCCAUUCACAGUUAUGAGGAAAACCACUUUGUCCAGUCUUUGACCAGAGGGGACACCCACAACUUCCCAGAAACCUGGGCUGGUGCCACUAAUGCCAUCCAUCCUAGGUUUUGGAUGUGGAUUGAUGGCUCCAAGUUUGACUAUAAAAACUGGUGCAGUGAUGACGAUCAUAAUCA